GAAAAGUACUAAAAAACGGGUUUUCCAUUGUAGCCAAAUUUAAGCGAAAGUUUGCAGGAAAUUGAUUCGUAUGUUUAUAUCAAAACCCAGAGAUAUCCAUAUGAUUAUAUUUAUAUUGUUAAGAACACGCAAGAAAAUUGACCCCUUAAAUUCCCCUAGGCAUUCACCGACCAACUCGACAACCAUCAGAAACGCUCAUCAAAGUUGAUGACAAGAUGAUAAAAAAUGGCGUCCCGUGAAAAUUUUCACUUGAGUGCGUUAGGAGAUUAGCGGUUCCGUAUCGUUUGCAAUUGAUUUUUGUGUGAUUUGGUCCCGCUAUUUGCAUACGUCGAAGAAAGUCAACCGGAGUCAUUGUUUGUAUCUCAUGUACCACCAUGCACUCCUGCUCUAGCAAGCAGUUUUCCAUUCGGAACACGACAACUGAUGCCAAUAUCGAUCCACACAACCGUAUACUUCCCAUCGUCAAGAUCCAGCAGCGUCUAGAAGCCGAUCUAAAAGCCAAACACAACCGGAACUCGCAGAGGGCAUGUGGGAAUUGAGCAGCUCAUUGGAUAACUACAGGCACUGUUGAAUUUACUUCCACGUGACACGGAAGCACCAUUUGCCUUUUUCAGAAAAAAAUAUUUAAAGCUCUUUUCAGUGGAAUGUAUUCAACCGUCUAAGAUGAUUGCGUUUCAUAAGAUCAGCGGGAGAAUAAAAGAGACAACCAGUGCCACGCAACGCUGAUCUGUGCCACCUUAGUAAAGUCUAGCUCAUUGGAGUUAAGUAACCUUCAUUUAAUUCCACCAAUUAUUUCGAUAUCUUAGCAAAUACGUAUUUCGACCACAACUGUGUGGUCGUCUUCAGUGUCUCGUACUUGACUCGACUUACGAUAAUUGUUGGAAUUAAAUAGAGGCUA
Molecule: long non-coding RNA, 898 nt
Organism: Armigeres subalbatus
Lineage: Eukaryota; Metazoa; Arthropoda; Insecta; Diptera; Culicidae
Exons: 3
Source: RefSeq, a predicted model, not a curated record